RNAcentral lists this ribosomal RNA (496 nucleotides) under Bacillus sp. WR9. RNAcentral describes it as "bacterial SSU rRNA". It matches the Rfam family "Bacterial small subunit ribosomal RNA", at positions 80 to 561 of the family's 1533-position model. Lineage: Bacteria; Bacillati; Bacillota; Bacilli; Caryophanales; Bacillaceae. The record is from RNAcentral.
UGCUCCCUGAUGUUAGCGGCGGACGGGUGAGUAACACGUGGGUAACCUGCCUGUAAGACUGGGAUAACUCCGGGAAACCGGGGCUAAUACCGGAUGCUUGUUUGAACCGCAUGGUUCAAACAUAAAAGGUGGCUUCGGCUACCACUUACAGAUGGACCCGCGGCGCAUUAGCUAGUUGGUGAGGUAAUGGCUCACCAAGGCAACGAUGCGUAGCCGACCUGAGAGGGUGAUCGGCCACACUGGGACUGAGACACGGCCCAGACUCCUACGGGAGGCAGCAGUAGGGAAUCUUCCGCAAUGGACGAAAGUCUGACGGAGCAACGCCGCGUGAGUGAUGAAGGUUUUCGGAUCGUAAAGCUCUGUUGUUAGGGAAGAACAAGUACCGUUCGAAUAGGGCGGUACCUUGACGGUACCUAACCAGAAAGCCACGGCUAACUACGUGCCAGCAGCCGCGGUAAUACGUAGGUGGCAAGCGUUGUCCGGAAUUAUUGGGCGU